UGCCUCAAAAAUUACACAUAGUGCCCUAUAAGGGAAUUACAUGUUGUACAAAAUCCUAAUUAACCAUACCUUAUUUAACAUUCAUAAUCGUCCAUCCAUUGGGGACGGGUCCUCAGCCGGGUCGGGUACCCUUCAGUCCUGUCUUCCUCAUCGAUAAUCUCUUCCUCAGAUGCUUCAUCAUCGACACCCUCUUCCUCAAGUGCUUCCUGCUCUCGACCAGUAGAUAGGUCUUCAGUUGUUGGCAUUAGUUCUACUGUCCUUGAUACAUCCUUAGCAAUUGACUCCGUAGUUCCUUCAAUUGUAACA
RNAcentral lists this long non-coding RNA (306 nucleotides) under Zostera marina. RNAcentral's name for it is "long non-coding RNA (ZMAR_LNC004272)". Lineage: Eukaryota; Viridiplantae; Streptophyta; Magnoliopsida; Alismatales; Zosteraceae. The record is from RNAcentral.